Nyctereutes procyonoides (raccoon dog) is the source of this 700-nucleotide long non-coding RNA. RefSeq lists it as uncharacterized. The record is from RefSeq and is a predicted model, not a curated record. NCBI's taxonomy places the organism in Eukaryota, Metazoa, Chordata, Mammalia, Carnivora, Canidae. The transcript has 3 exons.
CCUCCCGGGCUGAGGUGGGCGCGCUGGAGCGCGGGAGGGGCCGCCGCGGGCCCGGCCGGCAGCCGCGUUCCUCCCCCUGCGGCACGGCCUUCCUCGCCGCGGUUGUCUCCAGCCCGGGCGCGGAGACCGUGCAGUCCGGCAACGGCAAGAACCAGUUCACGGAGGGAGAAAGAGCACAAGCAGGAGGAACAGCAGGCAGUGGGAGAGGGAGAAGCAGGCUCCUGGCAGAGCAGAGAACCCCAUGUGGGGCUCCAUCCCAGGACCCUGAGAUCAUGACCUGAGCCGAAAGCAGAUGCUCAACCACUGAGUCACCAAGACGUCCCAGCAUGACUGUAGGCUCCACACCCAGCAUGGAGCCCAGCAUGGAGCUUGAACCUACAGCUCUACAAAUAAGACCUGAGCUGAGAUCAAGAAUUGGAUGUUCAAAAGAUGAAUGGAUAAAGAAGAUGCGGUUUAUGUAUACAAUGGAAUAUUACUCAGCCAUUAGAAAUGACAAAUACCCACCAUUUGCUUCGACGUGGAUGGAACUGGAGGGUAUUAUGCUGAGUGAAAUAAGUCAAUCGGAGAAGGACAAACAUUAUAUGGUCUCAUUCAAUUGGGGAAUAUAAAAAAUAGUGAAAGGGAAUAAAGGGGAAAGGAGAAAAAAUGAGUGGGAAAUAUCAGAAAGGGAGACAGAACAUGAGAGACUCCUAACUCUGGG